RNAcentral lists this ribosomal RNA (460 nucleotides) under uncultured bacterium. RNAcentral describes it as "partial 16S ribosomal RNA". It matches the Rfam family "Bacterial small subunit ribosomal RNA", at positions 338 to 795 of the family's 1533-position model. The record is from RNAcentral.
CCUACGGGUGGCUGCAGUGAGGAAUAUUGGUCAAUGGGCGCGAGCCUGAACCAGCCAAGUCGCGUGAGGGAGGACGGCCCUACGGGUUGUAAACCUCUUUUGCCGGGGAGCAACGGUCGCCACGUGUGGCGUCACUGAGAGUACCCGGAGAAAAAGCAUCGGCUAACUCCGUGCCAGCAGCCGCGGUAUUACGGAGGAUGCGAGCGUUAUCCGGAUUUAUUGGGUUUAAAGGGUGCGUAGGCGGAUCGUUAAGUCAGUGGUCAAUUUGAGGGGCUAAACCCCUUACCGCCAUUGAUACUGGCGUUCUUGAGUGGAAGAGAGGUAGGCGGAAUGCGUGGUGUAGCGGUGAAAUGCAUAGAGAUCACGCAGAACCCCGAUUGCGAAGGCAGCAUGCCGGCUUCCGACUGACGCUGAAGCACGAAAGCGUGGGGAUCGAACAGGAUUAGAUACCCCUGUAGUC